CGGGGUGAGUAACACGUGGGCAACCUGCCCUGAAGCGGGGGAUAACAUCUGGAAACAGGUGCUAAUACCGCAUAACAACGAAAACCACAUGGUUUUCGUUUCAAANAUGGUUUCGGCUAUCACUUCAGGAUGGGCCCGCGGUGCAUUAGCUAGUUGGUAAGGUAACGGCUUACCAAGGCGAUGAUGCAUAGCCGAGUUGAGAGACUGAUCGGCCACAAUGGAACUGAGACACGGUCCAUACUCCUACGGGAGGCAGCAGGG
This 261-nucleotide ribosomal RNA is filed under the name uncultured Lactobacillus sp. Its description in RNAcentral is "partial 16S ribosomal RNA". It matches the Rfam family "Bacterial small subunit ribosomal RNA", at positions 100 to 354 of the family's 1533-position model. The record is from RNAcentral. Lineage: Bacteria; Bacillati; Bacillota; Bacilli; Lactobacillales; Lactobacillaceae.